Molecule: transfer RNA, 75 nt
Filed under: Alphaproteobacteria bacterium MarineAlpha9_Bin2
Lineage: Bacteria; Pseudomonadati; Pseudomonadota; Alphaproteobacteria
Description: tRNA-Asn
Rfam family: tRNA
About the family: Transfer RNA (tRNA) molecules are approximately 80 nucleotides in length. Their secondary structure includes four short double-helical elements and three loops (D, anti-codon, and T loops). Further hydrogen bonds mediate the characteristic L-shaped molecular structure. tRNAs have two regions of fundamental functional importance: the anti-codon, which is responsible for specific mRNA codon recognition, and the 3' end, to which the tRNAs corresponding amino acid is attached (by aminoacyl-tRNA synthetases). tRNAs cope with the degeneracy of the genetic code in two manners: having more than one tRNA (with a specific anti-codon) for a particular amino acid; and 'wobble' base-pairing, i.e. permitting non-standard base-pairing at the 3rd anti-codon position.
Source: RNAcentral
UCCGCGGUAGCUCAGUGGUAGAGCAGUUGACUGUUAAUCAAUUGGUCGUAAGUUCGAAUCUUACCCGCGGAGCCA